AAUUCCACUUGAUUCUAGGGAAAUUAAACCCUCAUUGAGCGUAUUAUAAAGUGUUACCUUACCCACCACCUGUCAGAGGUGGAGCAACACCUGAAAGACGAGGGCUUCAGUGCCAGAGGCGAGACCUGAAACUUAAAGCGAGAGCUGCUGCCCAGCAAAUCUGUUUCUCCUCAAAGGAACCUUAAACUGAGCUCAUCCAGCCUUUCUGAGCAGCACAGCAGAGCUUCUGUCCAGCACUGAGAAAAGACUAAUUUCAGGGUCUGAUAAGCUCCCCACUUUGUGCCUGACACACCUGCAGGGAGAGGCAGAGAUUCAACUGAGUCUAUCAGAUUUUCCUCAACAACACAGCAGAGUCUCUACAAACAGCAGGUGCAGACAUGUCUGCUGCCAGCUGUCUUCUAUCUGAAGAUCAGUCUCUGUGCUUCAUCUGUCUGAAUGUCUUCACUGAUCCAGUCUCCACACCAUGUGGACACAACUUCUGCAAAAACUGCAUCAGUCAACACUGGGAUAUCAGUGAGAGGUGUCAGUGUCCUUUGUGUAAAAAGGUCUUUCAGACCAGACCUGAGCUGCACAUCAACACUUUCAUCUCUGAGAUGGUUUCUCAGUUCAGACAUGAAGCUCAGCAGAAAGUCAGCAGCAGCAGCUCAGAGCAACAAGCUGCCAAACCAGGAGAAGUUCCCUGUGACAUCUGCACUGGAACCAAACUGAAGGCUCUGAAGUCCUGCCUGGUG
Haplochromis burtoni (Burton's mouthbrooder) is the source of this 731-nucleotide long non-coding RNA. RefSeq lists it as uncharacterized. NCBI's taxonomy places the organism in Eukaryota, Metazoa, Chordata, Actinopteri, Cichliformes, Cichlidae. The record is from RefSeq and is a predicted model, not a curated record. The transcript has 3 exons.